GGAUGUCUGAGGAGAAAUAAAUGCGAUCUGUGCUCAGUGAGAGGCUCUGGCAGAGCUUCACACUAACGCCUUCUGUUAAUUUCAGGAUCCCCUCAAGAGAAAAAAGGCAUAUAAAAAGGAAGCUGAAAUUCCUCAAGGAUAACGUUCUACAUGCUAGCAGGGAGGCAUCCUUACCAUGGGAAUGUUCCAAAAAGAAAUCACAGAAAUGCAUUUCCACCAGGGAAAGAAAAAGGCAGCCACUCUACAAUAAUGCUGGAGCUCUGCUUGUUUUAAGCAUCAACUGUGAUGACAUGAUUAAAAAAUCAGCAUCGUUACAACCACAAGGACCUUUUCCGUGUGAGAGCACAUAAAACAUUAUUAGUGAACUUCUGUCUCCUGGCAUAUGUGUUGCACCCUCCAAAUGAGCUGGAAAGAAGGUAGAAAGUAGAGAUUUAUCAGGCAUCAAGUUCAGCCAUCCAAAUAUCAUAAUCCUCAUUUUUGUUGCUAGCUGUAUGCAAUUUUGAAAUGGUUUGUAAAUUUAAUUGUUGGUGUAUGGAGUGUGCAUAGGCCAUGCACAAGCAACAGCACUGCUAGGAUUAGCAGCUCUUACCUGCUUUGUUGGAAGCAGAGUCAACCCUGAGCUCUUUUAGCAAGGUGUCAGCCAGAUAGGGUGACACUCAGUGCUGUGAAAACUCAGAAAUGGCAGUACUUCUGGGUCAUCAGUCACUCCUGUUUAAAGCUGAAGACGAGUUAUCUGCUUAUAUUGCCUGUUGUUACGGCUUCCAAGGCUCAGGAGAUGAAAACAGAGAAUCUCCUUCCUUUUUACUGCACUUAUGUAUGAUGAUAAUUGGGUUUUUUUUUUUUUCAGGCUGAUGUAAAUCGGCAUUCAUUUUGGGAUCUUUGCUAUUGAUGGACAGUACUUAAGUUAGGCAUCACUAUAAAUCAAGAUGUCUUGUCCCAGUGUCCUCUUGUACUCUUUGUGUGUUACAACUUACCUGAAUGAUUGGAUGCUAUAUUAAACUGUGAUAUUACCCUACAGUCUACGUCUGACUUUCAGAGGAUCUUGGGUGGUACAACUACAUCACUUUAAUCCACAG
Molecule: long non-coding RNA, 1076 nt
Filed under: Phasianus colchicus (ring-necked pheasant)
Lineage: Eukaryota; Metazoa; Chordata; Aves; Galliformes; Phasianidae
Description: lncRNA (ENSPCLG00000008671.1)
Source: RNAcentral